This 466-nucleotide ribosomal RNA is filed under the name uncultured bacterium. RNAcentral's name for it is "partial 16S ribosomal RNA". It matches the Rfam family "Bacterial small subunit ribosomal RNA", at positions 28 to 507 of the family's 1533-position model. The record is from RNAcentral.
GAUGAACGCUGGCGGCGUGCUUAACACAUGCAAGUCGAACGAUGAAGCCCAGCUUGCUGGGUGGAUUAGUGGCGAACGGGUGAGUAACACGUGAGUAACCUGCCCUUGACUCUGGGAUAAGCCUGGGAAACUGGGUCUAAUACUGGAUAUGACUUCUCAUCGCAUGGUGGGGGGUGGAAAGAUUUAUUGGUCUUGGAUGGACUCGCGGCCUAUCAGCUUGUUGGUGAGGUAAUGGCUCACCAAGGCGACGGCGGGUAGCCGGCCUGAUAGGGUGACCGGCCACACUGGGACUGAGACACGGCCCAGACUGCUACGGGAGACAGCAGUGGGGAGUAUUGCACAAUGGGCACAAGCCUGAUGCAGCGACGCCGCGUGAGGGAUGACGGCCUUCGGGUUGUAAACCUCUUUCAGUAAAGAAGAAGCGAGAGUGACGGUACCUGCAGAAGAAGCGCCGGCUAACUACGUG